Cyanistes caeruleus (blue tit) is the source of this 4819-nucleotide non-coding RNA. NCBI's taxonomy places the organism in Eukaryota, Metazoa, Chordata, Aves, Passeriformes, Paridae. The record is from RefSeq and is a predicted model, not a curated record.
CAGGGCAGGUGGCCAGGGUUUCCUUGGAUUUGAACCUGGAAUGCAGCAGUGCCGUCCCCAGAGACCAGCUGGCAGCUCCAAGAUACUUGGCUUUCCCACACCAUCAUCAUCUCAAUCUGCAAACUGCUUAAUUUCCAUCAGGAUUCUGGAUUUCAGAACGCUGAGGCACAUUUACACUGUUUGACUAGAAACAAAUCAACAGUAAAUCUGCUGCACCUAAACUAAGAGACAGAGAGAAAGAAAGAGAGGGAGAACUCGCUUCUUCACAAUAUUCUGGCUGCUUUGUACAAACAUCUUCCCUGUUCAAUCAUCCCUGAAAAUGUGUGUGAGGAACCCGCGAUCCCGCCGCACCUCGCCUGGUCUGCCUGUCUUGGUACUGAGCAAGUUGAAGGUGCUCGCAGCAAGUACCCACUGCUUCCUAUCUCAGCUGUCACACAAGCAACAAACAUCUCUCUAAACGCUGAGCUUAAUUACCCUGAAGCCAGAGCAGUCCCAGUUCAGGCCAAGCCUGAAGAAGCCUGAGAAAUCAGUGAGAAAUGCUGAAAAUACCUGCCUAGGUGGAAGGCCAGAGCCCGCUGCGAGAUGCUCUGUGCAGGAUCUGCUGCACCCCUCUGGUAACUCAGGCAUGUUUGUGUUUGGUGAAGCAGUCCUGGAGUGGGGCUGGCUUCUCAGGCCGCUCGUGUUGCCGAUUACUCCAAUGUCAUUUAAAACCCAUCCUGUAAAAUGCCCCCCAUCAGGUUUUUGGUGAAGCUGGACUAUCAGCUACCUCACACAUGAGGUGACAUGACGCUGCCUGUUUCUGACAUGUCCCACAUGACCGACAUGCUCCCUGCAGAGCAAUCAAAGCCAUCCACGCAGUCAUGAGAUUUUCAGCUGGUUCCUGUUACAGCUCUGUGUUAACAUUUAUCCUUCUGCUCUUCGGUGGGUGUCCUUGCAGGCAGCAAAUGAGAAAAUUAAUUCUGAAAGAACAAACUUCUUUCUAAUAUUUACUCUCUUUCUCUCCCCUCUGAAUGUAGUUCCAGCUUUAAGCACUUUCUCCUGGAGUUACGAUUUAUUAUCCUGACCUGUUUCCCAAUCUAAGGGCAAAUACUUCCUCUGAUGAUAUCUUGUUAAAGUUUUCAAACAUAACAUCUCCUCAGCCUUCAAAGCUCCUUCCAUCCAUCCACAAGCUUAUUUCAGUCGUCUUCUCAGGCAGAAGCUAUCCCUGUUGGAUCUAAAUGAGGACUUUUGCCACAGAAGUACAUCUCAGUCAUGAUGUGAAACAGAACACUUUCUGCACUCUGCCUUUUCCCCAAAGCGAUGCUCGCUCACUCACUGCUCCGCUCAUGAGUUAGCCGAGCUCAAGCAGUACCUAAGUCCCUUCUCACUGGUCUUACCUGGGAUAUUCUCCUUCCUCAGAUGCAAUUCUGGUUUAUUCUGGUUUAUGCCUGCCCAUACAGUCAGUGCCACCAAAACACAGAGCUCACCAGCAUUCAGUACCACACCUCCAGGGUGCUCCAUGACCAACUUAAACGUCGGUCUCAUGGCCUGUCUCUACGCUCUCACGUGGAACUUGCAUUCCAAACACGUAUUCCUUGAGAUCUGACUAGCUGGGGUUAUCCUCCCUGAGGCUGGGGCAUUCCCAUCUAUAAGGGCCUGCAAACUUGUUUUCUCCUACAAAAGAGGCAGGCCCCUGCCCUCCUUCAGUCCGUUCUACUCUUCUCCUCUGCAUUUUAUAAUCGAACAGGAAAAUAAAGCAACCCCUCCCCCGUUACUUUAACUCUCACCAGUGGCUGAGCUGGUAGCCCAGAGCAGCUCUGUCGCCCUCCAGGUCACCAACCUCAGCUUCUUCGAGCGCCGCGAAGGAGAAACCUGCGGCUUUCACCAGGCUGCCCCUAACGCAGAAAACGUGCGCGUUCAGCGGGGGCGGAUGGAAACGCGCCUGCCCUCUCUGGAGUGGCCAUCGCUACAAAUCAGCGAAGCUGCCUCCCUCCAAAGCGAGCCAGGCACUGAGAAGAUAAAUACUCACUUAGCACAGCAAAAUAAAACCAGCCCCAGAAAGAUGCGAGAGCCCGAAGGGGGACUGAAACAGCCCCUUGCAAACGGUGAAGUAAUGGGCUUAGAGUUUUAUUAUCCGUAUAAAGUUUAGUGACUUCAAAAUGAAGGCGAAGCCAAGCAAGACUUGUUAUCCCACUAAAAUCUGUGCUGUAACUGAAGCCAGUGCCCAGAUGUUCCGUGGUAAAAUCCACCGCCUCGCUGCAUAAAAGCGCCACAUACCCUGACGUACGGUCCUGGCUUGCCUUUAUCCAAACCUCCUUAGAUUCUGGAUUGUUUUUCUAGCAAUCCUUUCAACUGCCAUGGGAAGCAUAAAAGGUGGUCUCCUACGAAACCGUUUGGUACCAGCUUGAAAUGUAACCGUUCGCAGAAAUAAAUCAGGAUUUCUUUUUAAUAAACUGUUUAUCGCCAGCCUCUCGGGACAUAAAUCGUGCAAGAAAAAGCAGGGCCUGAGUUUAAUAAACAUCUCAUCUUUUUAUAUAUAUAUAUUAAGGCAGAAGACCCUGGCACACUUCAGAGUGAAACACCCUGCAAAAAGCUUCCAUCCAGCCCCGCUGAGGGCAUGGGAUGGAGCAAAAGGCCACUGCAUGGAUGGAGCUUUCAGCAAAGGGUUUAUAUCCUAUUGUUUUUAGGGGACAUCUAAGGUAGGCAAACCUUCUAAGGAGGACAAAGGGGACUUGAAGAUGCCCUUUCUGCCCCUGCACACAGCUCAGGAUCCCCAGCCUGGCUCACAGGAGGAGGAGAGGGGUGCUGGGAAAGCCCCGCAGAUGGGCCGAAGCUGCGUGCCGGGAGCUCCAAAGGACAGAUGAACACCGGCUCUGUGGCGAAGGCAUUUAAGCCGAGCGGGGAAGGCAGCGCAGGCGUGACGUGAUUUUGAACAGCUUGCUUGACAGUUUGCACCAGAUUGUAUUUAUAAACACUGGGGAAACCUCAGAGCUUUUUCCUCCGAGCGUUUCCGAAGCGCUCACCCACAAGAACACAGGCGCGCGGGGCGAUCCUACGCAGCUCUGCCUCGCCUCGGUGACAAACUUCUCACGGUUAAAUAAAGGGGCCUGUAGUCAUCUCGGGGUGAUCAGCAUCCCACACAGUGCUCAAAUUCCCUCUCAUCUGACCACCAAAUCCUGACCUUCCCCAGGGCAGCCAGGGUGUGAGGUGACCUGCUGGCCCAUGACGCCAGCAGCACGUCACACGUGUGUGCCACCGCCUGCCAGGUGUGGCUGGUGCCAGGGAGCUGCGGGCAGAGCCUGGCACGUCCCCACUCAGGAGUGGGACAUGCAUAUUUUGUCCCUUCACUGGUUGGGCUGCGAUGACACACUGUGGUGUCCACCCUCCACGGCACAGAAAUCGAGGGGAUUUCUGUCCAGGGCCGCACAGAGACAAGGAGAGUGGGAUGCAUCCGCAGUCCUCAUCGUGGAAACGUGACAAGGAAUUUUGCAGACGUAUUAUAAAGCUCUUUCAAAAUUAAGAAGGGCUCCUUAUCUGCUGGCACAGAAAGCCCACGAGGAGCAGCUAUCACUUUGCUCACAGCAGGGUCAAACACAGCCGCAGGAGCCAGGAUACAUCCACACGGUACCCGCACGUGAUGCGCUACUGCACAUCUCGCCACAUUGCUAAUGGACAAACUAGAAGCUAAAAAUCUCUCAGUGCUUUAAAAAGUCCUCUCCUGCUUCAAAUAUCAGCAAGUUUUAAAUUCUAGACGUUGCUCUAAGUACUUCAGAGAGUUGUAGUGGCACUAGAAAGCUGACCUGGGCAGCUCUCCUGCAGGUACGUGUUUCGCUAUGAGGUAGGAGAGCGCGGCAGGGAGGAUGAGGCAUUCCUGACAAGAAGCAAUCCGAAAUGCCAUUCCUAAAAUAGCUCAGAUUCAGCGAUUUUCAAAGUAGGCUGAGCAGAAACACGAAGUUUUUUCCCCCCUGCUCCCUCACGGCACAGCCAAGGGUGCUGAUGGCGUCUAACACCCAAGCGCUGUUUUUAUGGAAACCAGGUUAUGGCCAAGCCAGCAGAGCCUGCCCAGGGUCACCGAUGCCAUAAAUCACUCGCCGCCAACCUCCCAGGGAGGAAUUCACCCUCACAUCGCUCUCGCCCCUUCCACUUUCACAGACACAACUCCGCCGUCUCCACCAAGCGUGGAAUGGGUGCAUGGAGGCUGGGAGCCCGAGCUCAGUGCCGGAGCAGCCUGACUGCGGGAUGCUCCGGCGGAGACAGUGCCGCACUUGUGCCACCCAACAUCUCCCGCUGUCUGUGGCUGCUCACAAGCAGCCAGGACAGGGAGGUCCGCGAAUUUACGGCAGAGACCUUGCCUCCCCUCGGAGCUCGCCUCCUGCCGCUCAGUCGAGCCACAAGAGCAGCGAUACUGCUUAAUUGCUCUAAUUAACACUGUAGCUAGAUGCUAACCAGCUCCUUCGGUGGGGAGGGGGAGAGUCCGAGGGAAGCUACAAGAUUCACGACCCGCUGUCUGAAACCAGCCUUGCAGAGGCUGCCUGGUCCACGUCGGUGUCCACCGGGAUGAUUUCCAGAGCAGCCCCGGGCAGCGAGGCAGGAUCACGCUCAUCCCUGGCACGGCGCUAACCCGUCCGGGGAACCAGGGCGUGCUACCGCGCUCAAGUGUUACAUUCGUCCAGAAAAAACACGCUCGGAGCAUCACAGCUUGUCCAAAAUCUGCGCUAGCCUUUAACUGCGAAGGUUUAGAUACGUAAAAGUUCUAUCUGCAAGUGAUUAAACAACGCUUUGUAGCCAUUGUCUCCGCGCUGUCGAAAUAAAACCAGAACCAAGGCUGCGCGUAGCAAAC